GAUCCUGGCUCAGGACGAACGCUGGCGGCGCGCCUAACACAUGCAAGUCGAACGGAGCUUACGUUUUGAAGUUUUCGGAUGGAUGAAUGUAAGCUUAGUGGCGGACGGGUGAGUAACACGUGAGCAACCUGCCUUUCAGAGGGGGAUAACAGCCGGAAACGGCUGCUAAUACCGCAUGAUGUUGCGGGGGCACAUGCCCCUGCAACCAAAGGAGCAAUCCGCUGAAAGAUGGGCUCGCG
This 239-nucleotide ribosomal RNA is filed under the name uncultured bacterium. Its description in RNAcentral is "partial 16S ribosomal RNA". It matches the Rfam family "Bacterial small subunit ribosomal RNA", at positions 15 to 235 of the family's 1533-position model. The record is from RNAcentral.